RNAcentral lists this ribosomal RNA (440 nucleotides) under uncultured bacterium. Its description in RNAcentral is "bacterial SSU rRNA". It matches the Rfam family "Bacterial small subunit ribosomal RNA", at positions 28 to 462 of the family's 1533-position model. The record is from RNAcentral.
GACGAACGCUGGCGGCGUGCUUAACACAUGCAAGUCGAACGCUGAAGCCUGGCUUUUGUUGGGUGGAUGAGUGGCGAACGGGUGAGUAACACGUGAGUAACCUGCCCUCUUCUUUGGGAUAACGCCCGGAAACGGGUGCUAAUACUGGAUAUUCACUUGCCUUCGCAUGGGGGUGGGUGGAAAGGGUUUUUUCUGGUGGGGGAUGGGCUCGCGGCCUAUCAGCUUGUUGGUGGGGUGAUGGCUUACCAAGGCUUUGACGGGUAGCCGGCCUGAGAGGGUGACCGGUCACAUUGGGACUGAGAUACGGCCCAGACUCCUACGGGAGGCAGCAGUGGGGAAUAUUGCACAAUGGGCGCAAGCCUGAUGCAGCGACGCCGCGUGAGGGAUGGAGGCCUUCGGGUUGUGAACCUCUUUCGCUCAUGGUCAAGCCGCAACUCAUG